RNA transcript from Monomorium pharaonis (pharaoh ant), 2658 nucleotides. It is a transcript of the gene named eukaryotic translation initiation factor 4E-binding protein Mextli, with no coding region annotated. The record is from RefSeq and is a predicted model, not a curated record. The transcript has 12 exons. Lineage: Eukaryota; Metazoa; Arthropoda; Insecta; Hymenoptera; Formicidae.
CGCCAGUUUUCUCUCACUUCACUCGCUUAUAUCUACGCGGCGCACGUCUUCGCGAUCCUAACCGGACGAUCUACGUCGUCGUCAAUCCGUUUGCGCACAGCGGGCCGACGGAGCGGUGGAUCUCGCGAAAGGAUCACAAUGGCUACCGCACAAUUGAACAGAGCCAGAACCGUAAAGAAGCUCGAAAAACCACGGCCGCUUAAGCUUAACCAACGCAACUCGACCGUCGAUGGGCGGAUCACGACUGUAGAGGAUAUAGUGUCCUUAAUCGACAAUGUUGCAAUGCAACUGACUAAUGGCUUCCAUGACCGAACGCUGCAAAUGAAUGUGAUCUCUAUGUGUAGUCAUCUGAAACUUUAUGCCAACCAAUUAGAAGCUAUCUACAAAGAUCAGCUUGACCGAGCCUUUGUGGCGAUCAGAAAUGGGAGCCAGGACGACAGAUUAGAUUUGACGACCAGGGUUCAUCUACUGGAACUUAUCGAGCUGCGAGCGAAACAAUGGCGUCAUACCGAUUCGAUGGACGUGUACUACAUGCAGAAGUUGUCACAUGUAGACAAUCAGGUCGAGGCGAUGCCCGAUACGCCGAACUCUCUAUCGUCCCCAUUAUUGACUUCACCUACUUCGGCACCAAUCCUGAGUCCUGGGGAAGUGAUUAAGAAUAGCGGAAAGUUCGCGAAGCCUACGCGUAUCCCGGGGAAAAAUUACUGCAAAGACGAAGUUGUCAUUCGCAACAGUGAUUCAGGAAAAGUGAUGGGAAUAAAAGGGCGGCGGGUUCACAUGAUAGAAGAGCUCAGCCAGACGAUCAUCUCCUUCCAGCGAGUAAACCCUGGAGCUAAAGAACGACUUGUCCAAAUCACGGGAACGUCCGAGGACAAGAUUCAUUACGCGAAGGACUUAAUCAAAGAUACGAUUCAACGAAAUGCAUCGCCAGUGAGACUGGAACAGAGCUCCGGCGGCGAGAAGGGGGCCAUGGGCGGUUCGAGCUCCUCGCUCAAUAGCAGCGCGUCGGAUGAGAGCAACCGGCUGCAACAGAGUCAACAGCACAGCUCCCGUCUACGCUCGUCCCUUUUGCACAGUCUCUCCACUAACGACGCCAGCAUAGGCGAAUAUAAGUACACCGUUACCGUCGGCAACCAGUCCCUUAAAAUUACGGGCUGCAAUCUCGACCUCGUCAGGACAGCAAAACUAGUGUUAGACGAGCACUUCUUGGGCGACUCCGAGAACUUUACUAGCAGAAUAGAAUACUUCAAUUACGAGGAUGAGCCCAGCUUCGCCUCAACUACAACAUCCACCUCCAACCUUCCCCGUAUGCCGUUGUCACCAUUGGACAACGUAAACGCUCCUGCUUCUCUAGGUCGAGAGUUAAGUGUGGAUAGUGCCGCUACCUCUUCGGAGAGCGAAGAGACUUAUAAAUCUCGUCCAAUUCCUGAAGAGCGAGGCUUGACUCAACAAGUUCCAGAAGCAAGAGAACUUACGUACGAGUUUCUGCUGUUGUGCGCGUCAGGCCCGUACGCGAAGCGGCCUCCUGCUAACUGGGCACGCAUACAGAAGGAAUGUCCCAAUAUAGUUCGUAAGGCACCGAUUCGCUGGUUCGAACCGGAGGCAUACAAAGCCAAGUUAGCAGCCGUUGGUCCCGUUGCGAUAUUAUCGAUUGGGGAAGCAGAAACCGAUCCCGAGUGAAGCUGGAGGUUCAAUCUGUCGUUCUUCUUCCAUUAUCCUCUCCCACAACUUAGGUCGAAGAAACUCGUUUCUUGACGGAGAGGAUUAAUCGUGAAAGACUAAUACGUACUUUAGAAGAAGACACGGUAGAUAUCAUGUUACAAGAGAACAAAUCCUGCGCUUUUGUAAGCAGCAAUUCGCAAAGCGGUCCCAAAUUCAAUGGAAGAUUUCAAUUCCGUCGUGUAACGUGACUUUACGCGGCGAGGGAUGAAAUCGUGAUUUAGCAUAGUCUAGUCUACCUAUUUCAACGUAGGAAUUUACUCUUUUUGUAUUUACUUUGCUGUGACGCAAUAACCAAAAAAAUCGAAGAACGGAGUAAAAGGAAUUAGAUUUUUUUUCGAGAAUUUUAUAUUUUAUAUACGUUAAACGCGGAAACGUUUGUGUGUUAUAUGCAAUGCAAUAUAUACUGUGAAGGAGCUAAGGUUGAAAAGUAAAAAUAAAAUCGUUACCGUUGUCGUUCUUUUUUUAUAGUAUAACGAUUUAGUAAUGACCUUAUAUAAGUUUUUUAUAAAGAAAGAUAGUAAUGAUAAGAUCAGAAUUAAAUCUUUGAUAAAUAAAUUAUAACUUGUUACGAAUCAAUUCAACAACAAAUGUAACUACAAGCGCUAAAACAAUUUUUUUCGAUGAGUAAUGGUAAAUUAUUUUUCAAAAGUGAUUAUAUUCCAACCUGUGUUACUAUUACUAUUAUAAAAAAAUUUAACGUUAAUACUAUCGGGGUGUUUACUCACAUUUUGUAACAGUAUUUCCGGAUUUUCCAGAUAGAAAAUUUUAUUUGAGAUAAAAUUAAAGAACUUUUUAAUAUAGUUUUAAAAUAAAUUAAUUAUACUAUUUAAUGUUUUUCUUAAUCGUAUGUGGAUAUGUGUGUCAUAUUUAUUACUAAUCGAUUGUAUUAUUAAAAAUAAAAUAUUUUGUCAAAGAAACAAUUUUGUUAGAAAAAAA